RNAcentral lists this ribosomal RNA (381 nucleotides) under Vibrio cholerae. Its description in RNAcentral is "bacterial LSU rRNA". It matches the Rfam family "Bacterial large subunit ribosomal RNA", at positions 2572 to 2925 of the family's 2925-position model. The record is from RNAcentral. Lineage: Bacteria; Pseudomonadati; Pseudomonadota; Gammaproteobacteria; Vibrionales; Vibrionaceae.
UAUGGCUGUUCGCCAUUUAAAGUGGUACGCGAGCUGGGUUUAGAACGUCGUGAGACAGUUCGGUCCCUAUCUGCCGUGGGCGUUGGAAGAUUGAAGGGGGCUGCUCCUAGUACGAGAGGACCGGAGUGGACGAACCUCUGGUGUUCGGGUUGUGUCGCCAGACGCAUUGCCCGGUAGCUAAGUUCGGAAUUGAUAAGCGCUGAAAGCAUCUAAGCGCGAAGCGAGCCCUGAGAUGAGUCUUCCCUGACAGUUUAACUGUCCUAAAGGGUUGUUCGAGACUAGAACGUUGAUAGGCAGGGUGUGUAAGCGUUGUGAGGCGUUGAGCUAACCUGUACUAAUUGCCCGUGAGGCUUAACCAUACAACACCCAAGGGGUUUUGUA